UGGGCGGUGUCCCAGCCACCCGCGCUCCCUUCUGAGACUCCAGCCUUAGCACGGUCUUUGGGCUCCGCCUUCUAUGAGUGGUGCUGUCACAAAGGGACAAGAGAAUGAGAAGAAGAUGCGGCUGUUUUCCGUACUGGAGUUGACACAGGCUGGAGAUGACAGCUGUGAACAGACGUCGAAAGAAAUGAAAGCCAUGGGCUGUGAGAAGGGGACUCUUCCUGCCUUCAGUCUGGCGGAAACCCCAGAGGUCAGGAGUAACCCGAUGGGUAACAGGUGCCCUCCCCUCCACCUGCGCAGGAAUUGCAAGGGGGCGGGGGGUGGAAAUCGGCUUUGAGACCCUUAGCUCAGGGCCUACCUCGAGGAGGUUGGAGAAGCUGAAAGAGAGGACGGAGUUGGGGAGACACUGCGGUGCACCUCCAGUCUCCUGAACUGCCAGACCCAGGCCUAGAAAAGUCUAGGAGACUGAGACUGUGGUCGCUCAGCCCCUGCAGGGUGAUGGAUUACUGCCAGCGGCAACCGGAAGUAGCUGGCGAGUGGGCCAAAGGGGUGAGUUUCUUCCACCCAGCGGUUCGGAGUCCCACGGAAGCAGCUGGGCUGGGCUCCCUUGGGAUUCCCAGUGAGAGGCCUGCCUGGAAAUGGGAAGGAUUCCAGUGAAGGGAAGGCGCUGGACCCCAGGAUGCCAAGGGUCUGCGGGCCAAAUGGAAAGUGGCCAGCCAGAGGAGACACGUCCCCUGCCUUUAAGGAAGCUCAUUCAGAGGUUCCCAGUGGGUGGAGCUCCCAGGAACCACACACACACACACCCACCCCAAUGACAGAAGGAAUCCACUACAAACACCACGGAGCCCAGAAAGCACGAUGCCGCAGCCUAACAGCGCCAGUCACGUGAGGCCUUCGUGUCCCUUAACCUCCUCGCGGUCAGGUGGGGAGGAGAAGAAGUAAGAGUGGGGUAGGGGAGAGGUGUCACACGAAUGAAAUUCAGAACUUGGAUGUGAGGUGGCAUGUUAAUUGCUAGGUCUCGAUGGCUGUUACACUUGGAAGUGACUGGAAGACGUGACUGUUCUCGUCAGCAUACUGCUAUCUGUCAUGACCUAGAAGCGAGCGGGAAAGUCACGGGAACUGCCCAACACAUCAUGUGCGUGGGCGGGCAGGGGGAGGAAAAGGAGGGCUGCCGAUGCACCUGCGACUGCCCCGAGGGCAAGCUCCAAGGUGCAGUGAUGACGGGUGGUGGCAGCUCCUGUUUCCCCACCUUGUCCCAGGAAUCGGGCUUCCAGUCGGCCCAGAAGGGCCUGGGAGCCUGGAAAUCUCAGGUGCGGACGUGGGGGGCACCUUGUGAUUGUCUUCAAAAAUUAACCCACGGUGGAAUCGGAGAAGUCGGACUGGCCAUUGGUGCUACCGUGUCAGAAAUUCCUUUGUGCCCAGCACUGUGCGGGUACAUUUCAGGCGGAAGGCAGUGAACUCUGGCUUCCGAAUGCAGUGUCACUGCAAAUUCUCACCUCAUGAGUUGUCAUCUGAUUGAGAGACGGCCUCAGAGAGAGCUUUUUGGUUCAUAUCUCAGAAACCACCGCCCCGGCCUGUCAAACCCAGAGAUUUAGGAUGGCAUCGGACCCCAAAUCUGGAAAAACUUAGCAGCCUCACAGUGCCAAAUCCAGAGGCGAAAUAUGCACACUGAGAAACCAGAAAAGCAUGGAAUGAUGGGGGGAGAGGAGGAAAAUGAAAACACUCUGUUUCCACUGACAGAAUCAGUCUUUGCCAGGAAAACUGGAAUGUUGACUUGGUUCGCACAUAAUUCAAUUUUCUACACACUCAGAAGGAGAGAAAAAGCCAGACGCUGGGAGAAAGUGCUGAUGCAGUUUUUGACAUUGGCAAAGGCAAUGUGUAUAUGAACUCAGCCUCGUGUGCAAUACUCAACCAUCUAAAAUGGCAAGUGUCACAACGUUUUAUACACAGCAUGGUCUCAACGAUGUGGAAAUGUCCACCUAUCCAGAUGUCCGUCUUUGUUUCUAACUAGCUUGAUUUAUCACGAUAGACAAACGAUUAGGUGAAUAUAUACCAAGGUGCUGGUAGCAGCUGGCAGGGCACGGGCAGUUUUUAUCCUUGACCUUUAUAUUUGUCAGUGUUUUUCAAUUUUUCUAAAGUAAAAAAAUGUAUUUUUAAGUGACUUUUAAAACCUAAUUGGUGCCUUCAUUAUGUGAACAAGGCGCAUGUACCUGACCUCAUGUAUAAACGCUCUCCUAGGGAACAAGGUUCUAAAUGAGCUACUCUCCUUUCCCAUCUUUUCAAUGCCCCUAGGCCCCACUGAUUUGAAAUAACUGCUGUUAGAAUUUUUUGUUUCUAUUUUUUUUUUUUUUUUAGUUUCUUACCAUUAAAUAUUUACACCCGGAACGAAAAGCCCAGAGAGCCUACGGCAAACCAAGGAUUCAAGCCACAUGUAAUGGGAGGGGCUGCAACUAUGCGCCACCUGGUGGCUGGAUUCCAGAAUGCGGGCCCAGCGUGGCCAGAUCUUUUUAAGAGAAACGGUUAAAUAUGAAAUAUCCCAAAUUUCAACACUUGGCACCUAACUUGAAAAUUUUAGAAGCAGUGUCUGGGCCACCCUGCAUACAACGGAGGGACAUAUUUUACAGCAUUGAGGCCUCUGCUUUAAGGAACAAACGUAGAGUGCUGUGUCUUAAAUUAUCAACCCUAAACAACGGCCAGGGACCAGAGAGAGAAGGAAUUUUGUUCACAUACGUUCCCUCCACUGCCCCUUCUUCCUUUCGCCUCCCUGCUUUUAGCCAUUAUAUUAUUGCUUCUUCUACCAGUGGCCUUUAUUACUUUGUACAUUUGCCUUCCGUUUAAAAAGUUUUUGGCAACUUUUUCAGCCUAUACGAUGGAAGAGGAGGAAAGCAUCUUUCUUCAACCUCUGCGGUGCAGCUCCCCUCUCUUAUGUAUCUGAAACAUUCUACACACUUUCAUCCAUUCACUCAUUUAGUCAUUCACUCAACAAAUAUUCACGGAGCGUCUACUCACGUGCCACGCACUCUUCUGGGCACGGAAUCUCCCGUGAUGUUUGAGUUGGCUGGCCCAGCCUUGCUUCAGGCUGCAGGUCAGGUUCAGGUCUGUAACAGGUUUCUCACUCUGCAAUCCGGGCUAGAUGUGCUGGAACAAGCCCAUUAUGGGAAUUCCUGGAGGAGAGAGAGGAAACACCCAAUACUUCUCAAUCCCUAGGCUGGGAACUGACACCCUGUGGCUUCAGCCCACCUCCUAUUGGCCAGAGCAAGUCACAUGACCAAGCCCAACCUCUGUGAGGGUGAGGCGGAAAAGCUCGCGAUGCUGAGAGUGGGCAGGGAGUGAAUGUUUGCUGAACAAUAACUGACUCUACCACAGCUUCCCUUUGACUUUACGGUUUGUAGUGAGUUUUGAGUUUCUUUUAGAUUUUUAUUACACAUUUUAAUAGGGUUAUUUUUGAAAUGUCUGACAACGCAGAGAAGCAUAAUUAACCAUACUAAAAUUCCCUCUUAUUCUACUGCCUAGGGAGACAAACAUUAUUAAUAUUGUGGUCAAUCUCCACGCAGAGUAGAAAAUUUGUGUGCACCGCGGAGGCUGUGGAUUCAGACGAUAGUGGCCAUUUGACGUUAGGUUUCCUUUGGCUUUUGGAAAGUCAAAGAGACAAAUGCCCACUUUAUAGUCAUUUUAGGCAGAUUUAAAACUGUGUUUCACCAGUGGUUCUGUAACUGGGUAGGUAUCUAUCCAUCUAAUCAAUAAAGCACACAACACGUGUUACUUACCUUCUACGUGUAAAUUGGGGGCUUAAAAAAUCUCUCUGUUACCUUAGAUAUUAACACUGUAUUGAUCAGCUUA
Molecule: long non-coding RNA, 3837 nt
Organism: Prionailurus viverrinus (fishing cat)
Lineage: Eukaryota; Metazoa; Chordata; Mammalia; Carnivora; Felidae
Exons: 2
Source: RefSeq, a predicted model, not a curated record